AAGUCGUAACAAGGUUUCCGUAGGUGAACCUGCGGAAGGAUCAUUAUCGAGUUAGGGUCCUCUGGGCCCGACCUCCAACCCCAUGUUUAAUCACCCUGUUGCUUUGGCGGGCCCGUCUCCGGGCCGCCGGAAGUCUCCGGAUUUCUGGCCAGCGCUCGCCAAUGGCCCCACAAAUUCUGACAAAAAUGUGUAAAGUCUGAGUUACAAAAUAUGAUUAGUUAAAA
RNAcentral lists this unclassified non-coding RNA (224 nucleotides) under plant metagenome. RNAcentral's name for it is "partial contains small subunit ribosomal RNA and internal transcribed spacer 1". The stretch from base 1 to 46 matches the Rfam family "Eukaryotic small subunit ribosomal RNA", at positions 1786 to 1831 of the family's 1831-position model. The record is from RNAcentral.